UGGCACUCUCCAAAGUGAAAUUUAUUGUAGCUUUUACACUUUGGCUUUUGGUUAUCUACACCCCCCACACUAGUCACCAUCGGGGAAGAAAACUUUUGGUUACGCCGUUUGGAGCUUCUUACUCUUCUCAAAUAUCCUACCGAUGAAGUGGAGCGUUCAUGUUGGCUCCUUGAUUUCUUUAUGGAAAAUGAGAGCGCCCUGCCGCUAGAUCUGUAACACCCCUCGCCCGUAUCC
Molecule: long non-coding RNA, 234 nt
Filed under: Gossypium barbadense (sea-island cotton)
Lineage: Eukaryota; Viridiplantae; Streptophyta; Magnoliopsida; Malvales; Malvaceae
Description: long non-coding RNA (GBAR_LNC011466)
Source: RNAcentral